RNAcentral lists this ribosomal RNA (460 nucleotides) under uncultured bacterium. RNAcentral describes it as "partial 16S ribosomal RNA". It matches the Rfam family "Bacterial small subunit ribosomal RNA", at positions 338 to 795 of the family's 1533-position model. The record is from RNAcentral.
CCUACGGGAGGCUGCAGUGAGGAAUAUUGGUCAAUGGGCGCGAGCCUGAACCAGCCAAGUAGCGUGAAGGAUGACUGCCCUACGGGUUGUAAACUCCUUUUAUAAAGGAAUAAAGUGAGGCACGCGUGCCAUUUUGUAUGUACUUUAUGAAUAAGGACCGGCUAACUCCGUGCUAGCAGCCGCGGUAAUACGGAGGAUCCGAGCGUUAUCCGGAUUUAUUGGGGUUAAAGGGAGCGUAGAUGGGUUGUUAAGUCAGUUGUGAAAGUUUGCGGCUCAACCGUAAGAUUGCAAUUGAUACUGGCAGCCUUGAGUACAGGUGGGGUAGGCGGAAUUCGUGGUGUAGCGGUGAAAUGCUUAGAUAUCACGAAGAACACCGAUUGCGAAGGCGGCCUGCUAGACUGCCACUGACGUUGAUGCUCGAAAGUGUGGGUAGCAAACAGGAUUAGAUACCCCUGUAGUC